This 492-nucleotide ribosomal RNA is filed under the name uncultured bacterium. RNAcentral's name for it is "partial 16S ribosomal RNA". It matches the Rfam family "Bacterial small subunit ribosomal RNA", at positions 29 to 507 of the family's 1533-position model. The record is from RNAcentral.
AGUGAACGCUGGCGGUAGGCCUAACACAUGCAAGUCGAACGGCAGCACGGUAAGAGCUUGCUCUUACGGGUGGCGAGUGACGGACGGGUGAGGCAUACAUCGGAAUCUUCUUUUUCGUGGGGGAUAACGUAGGGAAACUUACGCUAAUACCGCAUACGACCUACGGGUGAAAGCAGGAGAUCUUCGGACCUUUCGCGAUUGAAUGAGCCGAGGUCGGAUUAGCUAGUUGGUGGGGUAAAGGCCCACCAAGGCAACGAUCCGUAGCUGGUCUGAGAGGAUGAUCAGCCACACUGGAACUGAGACACGGUCCAGACUCCUACGGGAGGCAGCAGUGGGGAAUAUUGGACAAUGGGCGCAAGCCUGAUCCAGCCAUACCGCGUGGGUGAAGAAGGCCCUCGGGUUGUAAAGCCCUUUUGUUGGGAAAGAAAAGCAGUAGGUUAAUACCCCGCUGUUCUGACGGUACCCAAAGAAUAAGCACCGGCUAACUUCGUG